UUCACAUCACUAGAGUCUGGGGUUCUCUGUAGCUCUACAGGAUAUCUACAGUCUAGGCAGCAGCAGUGCAAGCUUCCUUACAUUACACUGCCAAUAUGCCUCAGAUCUGACUUAGACUGAGAGGAGAAUGCAGAAUCCAUUCCCAUUGAAUUCUCAAGCCUCU
Unclassified non-coding RNA from Chrysemys picta bellii (western painted turtle), 163 nucleotides. The record is from Ensembl. Lineage: Eukaryota; Metazoa; Chordata; Testudines; Emydidae.